Molecule: unclassified non-coding RNA, 346 nt
Filed under: uncultured bacterium
Lineage: Bacteria
Description: partial 16S-23S ribosomal RNA intergenic spacer
Rfam family: Bacterial large subunit ribosomal RNA (bases 217-346)
Source: RNAcentral
AAGUCGUAACAAGGUAGCCGUAUCGGAAGGUGCGGCUGGAUCACCUCCUUUCUAGGGAGAAAUUGGUUUACUAUCCAGUCUUGAGAGUUCAUCUCUCAUGCACUCAAUUAGUGCAUUUUGUACAUUGAAAACUGCAUAUCAUAAACAAUCCUAAUAAGGUCAGCGAGAGCUGAUUUUAAGUAAUGAAAGGUUACAUUUUCUCUUAGAAAAUGAAAAGGUCAAGUUAGAAAGAGCGUAGGGUGAAUGCCUUGGCGCUGGGAGCCGAUGAAGGACGUGGUAAGCUGCGAUAAGCUUUGGGGAGGUGCAAGCAACCUUUGAUCCAGAGAUUUCCGAAUGGGGAAACCCA